GCUCCUGGAAACGGGUGGUAAUGCCGGAUGCUCCGACUCCUCGCAUGGGGUGUCGGGAAAGAUUUCAUCGGUAUGGGAUGGGGUCGCGUCCUAUCAGGUAGUCGGCGGGGUAACGGCCCACCGAGCCUACGACGGGUAGCCGGCCUGAGAGGGCGACCGGCCACAUUGGGACUGAGAUACGGCCCAGACUCCUACGGGAGGCAGCAGUGGGGAAUAUUGCACAAUGGGCGCAAGCCUGAUGCAGCGACGCCGCGUGCGGGAUGACGGCCUUCGGGUUGUAAACCGCUUUUGAUCGGGAGCAAGCCUUCGGGUGAGUGUACCUUUCGAAUAAGCACCGGCUAACUACGUGCCAGCAGCCGCGGUAAUACGUAGGGUGCAAGCGUUAUCCGGAAUUAUUGGGCGUAAAGGGCUCGUAGGCGGUUCGUCGCGUCCGGUGUGAAAGUCCAUCGCUUAACGGUGGAUCUGCGCCGGGUACGGGCGGGCUGGAGUGCGGUAGGGGAGACUGGAAUUCCCGGUGUAACGGUGGAAUGUGUAGAUAUCGGGAAGAACACCAAUGGCGAAGGCAGGUCUCUGGGCCGUUACUGACGCUGAGGAGCGAAAGCGUGGGGAGCGAACAGGAUUAGAUACCCUGGUAGUCCACGCCGUAAACGGUGGAUGCUGGAUGUGGGGCCCGUUCCACGGGUUCCGUGUCGGAGCUAACGCGUUAAGCAUCCCGCCUGGGGAGUACGGCCGCAAGGCUAAAACUCAAAGAAAUUGACGGGGGCCCGCACAAGCGGCGGAGCAUGCGGAUUAAUUCGAUGCAACGCGAAGAACCUUACCUGG
RNAcentral lists this ribosomal RNA (822 nucleotides) under Bifidobacterium pseudocatenulatum. Its description in RNAcentral is "bacterial SSU rRNA". It matches the Rfam family "Bacterial small subunit ribosomal RNA", at positions 146 to 978 of the family's 1533-position model. The record is from RNAcentral. Lineage: Bacteria; Bacillati; Actinomycetota; Actinomycetes; Bifidobacteriales; Bifidobacteriaceae.